RNAcentral lists this ribosomal RNA (496 nucleotides) under uncultured bacterium. RNAcentral describes it as "partial 16S ribosomal RNA". It matches the Rfam family "Bacterial small subunit ribosomal RNA", at positions 29 to 507 of the family's 1533-position model. The record is from RNAcentral.
AUGAACGCUGGCGGCGUGCCUAAUACAUGCAAGUCGAGCGAACAGACGAGGAGCUUGCUCCUCUGACGUUUGCGGCGGACGGGUGAGUAACACGUGGAUAACCUACCUAUAAGACUGGGGUAACUUCGGGAAACCGGAGCUAAUACCGGAUAAUAUAUUGAACCGCAUGGUUCAAUAGUGAAAGACGGUUUUGCUGUCACUUAUAGAUGGAUCCGCGCCGCAUUAGCUAGUUGGUAAGGUAACGGCUUACCAAGGCAACGAUGCGUAGCCGACCUGAGAGGGUGAUCGGCCACACUGGAACUGAGACACGGUCCAGACUCCUACGGGAGGCAGCAGUAGGGAAUCUUCCGCAAUGGGCGAAAGCCUGACGGAGCAACGCCGCGUGAGUGAUGAAGGUCUUCGGAUCGUAAAACUCUGUUAUUAGGGAAGAACAAAUGUGUAAGUAACUAUGCACGUCUUGACGGUACCUAAUCAGAAAGCCACGGCUAACUACGUG